CAAGUGUUCAAACAAAUUUACAAUGAGCGAACAAAAUUACAAGUUUUAAAACAAAUUUACGUUUAUUACGGAAAGGGUAGGUACAAUACGCUGACGUCACGCAUCUGAGCCUCCGGUGGGAGGAAACCCGGAAGUAUCGCCGUGAAUCACAUGAGAGUUGUGAAUGCGAUGUUGUGUAUUAGGCUGUACAUAAUAUUAACGGAAAGAGAGUGAUAAUAUAUAACCUUUCAUCGCUUCCGAAGUGACUAAAAGGGAUAUUGGACCUUAUUUUCAGAUUACAGACAACACGAGAGGGUGCUUCAAACUUUUUAAUCAGGACUGCAUUGUUUGUUCGCUCCCGGGGUUACAUAGACUGAAACGAGGAAGUGUGACGAGUUUGUUUACAUGGUGCUGUAAACUUCAACCCAGGAGGACACUUCAAAGGAAUCAAGGUGUCUGUGAUAUUGAAACACUAAAGGAAGAAGAGGAGGACCACCAUUCGUUUCCUGAGCAGAAAAAAAAUUAAGCAUAUCUAACAGUGGUUCUGGGGCAUUGCAAGACUAUGGUUACCUGGAAACAUCUCCUAUUAUGGAAGAUUAUCGCAACAUUUGUGUCUUGGAUCAUUUUUUCUUGUUUCUCUGCCACAGAUUUAGCUCCUAUAGCAAACGGCCAGUUUGGACUACAGCCCUCUACUUCUCGAUUGAAUGACAUCCAAAGAAGAGUUUUUUACUAACCUCUGCCCACUGGAAUAUGUCAGUCGCCAGCUAAGCUCAAGUGGCUCUACUAAGCUGCUGUUGAAUCACAGCACACUAAACAAACUACAUAAUCAGAACUCGAUAGGUAUUUCUGAAGGAGGGACUUUAUAGAACAAGGAAGACAUCAGCUCGUUUUUAGUAAAGUAAAAACAGCGCUAGAGAGUAUGUGAAAAAUAUUGUCUUUUUUUACACACAAAACAUGAACACACGCUAUAUUGCACACCAUAAACACAAUCAUAGUUUGUGUUAAAUACUCUCAUUCUCACGGCACCCAUUCACUGCAGAGGAUCCCAUUGUAAGCAAUGUAAUGCUUAAUUUCUCCAAAUCUGUUCCAGUGAAAAAACAAACCAUCUAUAUCUUGGGUGAAAAAUUACUUUAAUCCCAAAAACAAACGUUUUUCAUUUAAAUGUUUUUACUUUGCUUUAUUGUUACAAUUUGUACAGUAGAUAGAAAAUAUACAUUGGAACAAAUGUAUAUACAGUGGUGUGAAAAGGU
This is a long non-coding RNA of Paramisgurnus dabryanus, 1229 nucleotides long. RefSeq lists it as uncharacterized. The record is from RefSeq and is a predicted model, not a curated record. NCBI's taxonomy places the organism in Eukaryota, Metazoa, Chordata, Actinopteri, Cypriniformes, Cobitidae.